RNAcentral lists this ribosomal RNA (508 nucleotides) under Fedikovella sp. MNHN IM 2013-42895. RNAcentral describes it as "partial large subunit ribosomal RNA". It matches the Rfam family "Eukaryotic large subunit ribosomal RNA", at positions 37 to 651 of the family's 3401-position model. The record is from RNAcentral. Lineage: Eukaryota; Metazoa; Mollusca; Gastropoda; Cocculinidae.
AGCAUUUUAAUAAGCGGAGGAAAAGAAAUUAACUAAGAUUCCCUUAGUAACGGCGAGUGAAGCGGGAGUUAGCCCAGCGCUGAAUCCCCUCGGGGACCUGUGGCGUAUGGAACCGAUACUCUUCGUAUGUGUUUGUCUGUGACCAGUUACAUGGAAUUUUCUUAACUCCGCUGAGGGUGAGAGACCUGUGUCGACGUGGAUGGCAUUGCGAUUUGGUAUUGGUUCCGAGAGUAGGUUUGCUUGAGAUUGCAAACUGAAGACCGGUGGUAAUUUCCAUCGAAGGCUAAAUACUUCCACGAGUCCGAUAUUUGACAAGUACCGCAAGGGAAAGUUGAAAAGCACUUUGAAGAGAGAGUGAAACAGACGUGAAACUGCAUGUAGGUAAACGAGUGACGACACAGUGUGAAGGAUUUGGUUGCCUAAUCGCCGUCGCACCUUGAAGCGGUCCGUGUUGUAGUUGCAUGAGCGUUUGAUUGUGUGUUGUAUAAUGUGUCCGUUACUCGACCCG